Non-coding RNA from Chiloscyllium plagiosum (whitespotted bambooshark), 2118 nucleotides. NCBI's taxonomy places the organism in Eukaryota, Metazoa, Chordata, Chondrichthyes, Orectolobiformes, Hemiscylliidae. The record is from RefSeq and is a predicted model, not a curated record.
AACGGAAGAACCGUUUCCAUUUCUUAUUAUCGGGUUCUGCUUUCACUUCUUUCUUCCCUCUCUUGUUUGGAAACCUUCAUUGUGUAUUUUACAUUCGUGCAUCAUGAGAUUUUUUUUUGACAACAUUGCGCCAAAAUCUCGACAGUUGUGCUGAGGGAGAGGGUUUGUGAGGCCUGGAGCUGGUGAUAAAUGUGUCUUGGACUGAAAAAUCAUCCUUGUACGGCUGCAACUAGAAACAAAGCAGUAAUGGAGGAUUUGUGAUGGUGUCAUAAAUUGAUGAAAGUUAAUACUGCAUCUACUGGGGUCACCUUUGCAGACAAUGCAUUCCAUAUUACAACAACUUGCAAAAAGGAUUCCCACGUGAGGACUGGCUAAUAGCGCAUUUUGCACUUUUGCUCAAAAAAGGAGUUGGACCUGGUAAUUACAGACCAGUCGAUGUCAUGUUGGCAACAACGAAGCUUUUAGAGACAAUAAUUGGGACAAAAUUGUGUGAUAUAUUGCAAUCUUCCAAAGUUCUAUUUACCUCAUCUUUAUUUUUACCCUAUCCAAUGCUGUUGAUAUCUUCUUUACUGCCACAAUUACAGUCUGCUUUGUUGAAGACAGAUGUAAAGUAGUAAUUUCAUACUUCAGUCCUGCCCUCUGUCUCUGUAAAAAGCUCUUUUUGGUCUUUAAUCAGCCCACCUUCAUACAAAUAGAGAAAAGGUGAACUUUACAUUGGGGAAAAGAAGGGAAAAGAAACUGUGCACAAAUUAAGGCUAUUUGAUUAAUACAUUUGUAGAAAGUUUCCACUAGAUAUUUUUUAAUCAACCUCAGAUGUAAUUUGAUACGUCUGUGGUAGGUGGGACUUGAACCCAGAUUUUCUGGUUCAGAGACAAAAGAAACUGCAGAUGCUAGAAUCCAAAGUAGACAAGCACGAGGCUGGAAGAACAUAGCAAGACAAGUUCUCCAUCUCCAGGUGCUGCCUGGCUUGCUGUGUUCUUUCAGCGUCCUGCCUGUCUACUUCUGGUUCAGAGAUAGGGAAACUGUCACUGUGCCAUGAACCUGAAAUUUUCCACUAUAACUUGCAACACUAUUAUUAACAGAUUCAUGCAUUACCAAUUUCACUAGAUAAUGCAAACAUAAGCAACCUUUCCAAACUAAAGACUCAUCCUUCUUAAUCAAACCCCUUAAUUAUUAUAUCUGACAUCUAAUCACAAUCAAAUGAUCAUUCAAUAAAAUUAUUUAAUAAGACUUUAUCUUCAACUUAGUAUGUCUUUUACAUUUUGGAAACAAUAUUUUUCAAACAAAUAAAAAAUGCGAUUAUGGAAUUUUCAAAUCAGGAUGUCAGUCAUGAUAUCCGUUCAUGUCCAGUGCUUUAUGUGAUAAUUAAAUUGAGUUACCUUUCUGUCAAUUAAUGGAAUUAUCGACAAUAAUGACUUGUUCUGCUCUGAUUCUGAAAUGAAUUAAAACCAAGCCAUGUUGCAUUAUUUGAUUGUCACAAAGGUAUAUCAAAAUGACAGUGUGAUGACGGGUGUAAAAAGAGUUAAGUCAGUGUGCUGAAUCGCUUGAUUAUCACUUCAUAAACCUUUGCAAAAUUAUUUGGUUAAAGUUCUGAGAAAUUAAGUGUUCCCUUUUAUUCUGUCCUAAUAUUAAAGUUGCAGGUGUGGUGAAGUUCUGAAAUACAUACAUUCAGGCUUCCUCUUGGUGAGCAGCAUGUAAUUUACAAUCCAUAAUAUAAUCCUUGUUUCCUAAGUGUGUCUAGCGCAACAUUCUCAAACUGUUAGUACAGUAUAACUGCAGCCCAAAUAGUUCUUGGUUAAUGUAUUAGUGCUGUGUUCAUACUGGUAUUACUUUAUGUAUGGCUUAAGAUCUCAAAACAGAGAAGAUUCUUCAUGAUAUUUCUACGGUAAAAAGAAUGAUGUAUGUUAUUCUUUUGGCUUUCAGCUGUUUUCAUUAAUUCCAGUUAUAUAAAAGUUAUGUACAACUUUUUCUGAUUUCAGUCAGGUAGUAUGAUGUUUACAUAUCUUGGCUGCUGUUCAGCUGGGACUCUAAUCAUCCUUAGUUUGUCAUAGAAUAUAAAAACAUCUUGGUGUUAGGUUACUUUGUUAAUCUCAGACAAUAAAAUCUGUGACAAAUUGA